AGAACAUAAGAAAGUAUUUGCUGACUGAAGCCAGAGAAAAAAAUAGACCUGAAUUUCUUCAGGGUUGGCAGACUGCUGUAACGAAGUGUAUUCCACAACAGAAAAAUGACAGUGACUGUGGAGUCUUUGUGCUCCAGUACUGCAAGUGCCUCGCCUUAGAGCAGCCUUUCCAGUUUUCACAAGAAGACAUGCCCCGAGUACGGAAGAGGAUUUACAAGGAGCUGUGUGAGUGCCGCCUCAUGGACUGAAACUCAGCAGGGACUCUGGGAAGUCUGACCAAGUUGGAGCAGAUGGUUUGUUACUUGAAUCUCCAAACGCUUAUUUGAAUUUUUACAGAUAUUUCAGAUCAGUGGUGUUGGGCCACUAUUAUUACCUCAGAUUUACUUUUUGCCCUUAUCCAUUUCUCCAGCUACCAUGUACUAUUUUUUAAUGUUCAGUUUGGUUUCAUUUUUAACUUUAUGGAUUCUGUGUGUCCACCCCAUAUUUAAUAUUUAUUAUUCAAGUGCAUGCAUAUAGACAGCAUGCAGUGAAGAGUAUGAAAAAAAAAAAAGCUUAGAAGAUUUGGUGCAGCUUUUGAAACUUAGUUAGAUGUGAACUGAACACAGGUUUAAAAUUUAAUCCCAGAACCUAAUAAAAAUGCAAGAUGUGUUUGGUACAACAUUAUUCUGAGAAUAGUAAAUGUUCCCUGGGGCCUAAAGUGUAGCUAGGAGUGGUUU
Galeopterus variegatus (Sunda flying lemur) is the source of this 716-nucleotide long non-coding RNA. RefSeq lists it as uncharacterized. NCBI's taxonomy places the organism in Eukaryota, Metazoa, Chordata, Mammalia, Dermoptera, Cynocephalidae. The record is from RefSeq and is a predicted model, not a curated record. The transcript has 3 exons.